AAGCAGCGCCGGCUGGGUUCGACCGCGAACCGCAGCGGCGCCGCGCGCGGCC
RNAcentral lists this small RNA (52 nucleotides) under Sinorhizobium meliloti 2011. RNAcentral describes it as "putative ncRNA". The record is from RNAcentral. Lineage: Bacteria; Pseudomonadati; Pseudomonadota; Alphaproteobacteria; Hyphomicrobiales; Rhizobiaceae.